This 440-nucleotide ribosomal RNA is filed under the name uncultured bacterium. RNAcentral's name for it is "partial 16S ribosomal RNA". It matches the Rfam family "Bacterial small subunit ribosomal RNA", at positions 338 to 795 of the family's 1533-position model. The record is from RNAcentral.
CCUACGGGGGGCAGCAGUGGGGAAUAUUGCACAAUGGGGGAAACCCUGAUGCAGCGACGCCGCGUGAGUGAAGAAGUAUUUCGGUAUGUAAAGCCCUAUCAGCAGGGAAGAAAAUGACGGUACCUGAUUAAGAAGCCCCGGCUAACUACGUGCAAGCAGCCGCGGUAAUACGUAGGGGGCCAGCGUUAUCCGGAGUUACUGGGUGUAAGGGGAGCGUAGGCGGGAGCAGAAGUGCAGAGGGAAAUGCGGGGGCUUAACCCCGGAAGUGCUGUGGAAACUGUGCAUCUAGAGUGGAGGAGAGGUAAGUGGAAGUCCUGGUGUAGCGGUGAAAUGCGUAGAUAUUAGGAAGAACACCAGUGGCGAAGGCGGCUUACUGGACUGUAACUGACGCUGAGGCACGAAAGCGUGGGGAGCGAACAGGAUUAGAUACCCUAGUAGUC